CUCAUUCGCAGCAGAAAAAGCAAACGGAGGAAAUGGGAAUUUCACUCCGAGGAGAAAUGCCACGGUGCCCUCACUCGUGAGUUUUGGGGGGCAGAUUUGCCUCCGGGUUUCAGCAGACUAUUCUUCAGCCAUUUUCCAUUCAUCGUUGGGAACAAGAGCUAAAUAACUCCUAGCCUGUUUCAUAACGGAGAAACUAGCCUAAGAGACGAGGCAGGCUGAAAACUCACAUAAGAUCAGUGAUUACAGCUCAACUGACAAAGGAUGGCUUCUAAGGGAUGGAAACGUGUCCUUAGUGCUCAAUGCUGUUGCUCUUAACCAUUGGCAGUGGCUGUUGUACUGUUCCCCUUUCGAUGAGCCACCUUCUUCCUUUUACUGUGACGAGUUGUAGCUGCUGGAGUGGAGCCUUCCUGGUGUUGCACUGUUGCAGAGUCCUUCCAGUACUGCUAAUCCCCUCCGGUAUUAGCAAGGAAAUAUCAGACAACUACUCCAUGGAGAUGUGAAGUGAAACCAUCAUACAAGAACAACAUGGGAACUGCUGAGCAGACUGUAUUUCCAGUUAUCUGAGAACAACUGUACAUCUACAAGUAGCUGAAAAUUGUGAUGCUACUAUGAUUCUGUCACGUCCUUCAGCAGACCGAUUUUGUACGGCCAGACCCUAGUACAGACAGACAGACAGAUUAAAGAACAAACAAAAAAUUUUCUCCCCCUGCAUGCAGAAGGAACUGGACGCAGCUUGAAAGUGAUGGGCAGCGCUGGAAAAAUGGUGAUUGAACUAGGAGGCCAUCUUAAAACAGAUGAGAGAAAGCCUGUUUCUCACACAAUGAGUAGCAAACUUAGGUGAUUCAUUCCUGCAGAAGGCUAUGGGUACAGGUGCUACCAGAUAGUUGAAGAAGCAGUUAGAUAAAUUCAUGAUCAACAGGUCCAUAAAGAGACUCUAAAAAGAAUAAGUAGGGCUGUACUCAAGAAACUCCCUACUCAGCCUGUCCUACCACCAUUGAGAGAGGCAGGAUAUGGGGUGAGGUGGGCCAUUGGUCUUACCCCAGUAGCACAUGUCUGAUAUUCUUAUGAACAACAUCUCCUCCCCAUCCCAUUUGCCCUGCUCGUGACUCCAGAGCCAAACCUACCUAUCACAGUGGUAAAAAAAGAUUCUUUUCUGGCCUUGCAAUAGCCUACAAAGCUGGAGCUAGCCCAUGGGGAAAUGGCUAAUCGGGAUAAUAUCCUUGGCAUAAGGGAUAAUAGAUCUGGAUCUAGGUUAAGGGUACUUAGAUCUACUAGCAUCAUUGUCCAACAGCAGUUAUAGAGAAAGGCUGGUGAUAGCAAAACACAGUCUGGGAACACCUAGCUAUUCCUCAAAACGUGCCGGCAUUUGCAUCUGGAUUCCUCAUUCGCUGCUCCAGGAGAGGAGAGGAGGGACAGACAAUCGGACACACAGCUUGUCUAUUUUUGCUUUCACUAUAUUUGGUGAGGAUUGGAAAUGUAAUGUCUUUUCCAGAGGUCACAGCAUCAAAUAAUUCUCAGUAGUGUUACAAAUAAGGUUUCAGGUCUGUGAGGGAUUUAUGGACAAGAGUGAAAGACCCUCGAAAUUGAUAUCAAUAAUUCUGCUGCCCAAGCUGAAGGCAUAUCUCCAACAGCUGUCAGGGGCUGUGGGUUUUUAUACCCCUUUAGCUGCAAGGAGGCAAGACCAUCAUAAUUAGCUGCUAAUUGAGAAGCCUGCAUCUGAAAAGCACAAUUUCAGAGAACAAAGAGCCAGAGAGACCCAUUUCCAGGGCUAAUUAGAAUUAAUUCAUAGCUAUAAGUAGAAGGGCUCCCACAGUCCUGGGACUCUCUCUUGGCCUCUCCUGAAACACCAGUCUAAACAUGCGCAUACCAAUCAUAGAAGGCUCAGCGUGACUUGUGCGGCUCUUGUGCAAUACAGAAAUAGCACUGCUUGUUAAAAAAGAGUCUGAUUUUCAUUUUUUUGCAGCCCUGGGCUAUGUCUCCCUUCUGCAGCUGCUGGUACCUGCACUCGGGUAUGAAGCCUCCUGCCUUCACUGCCUCUGGGGGUAUCAUGGCGUUUUGUCUGUGUGGGGACUCCAGGACCACAGUCCUCACUCAGGCUUGCAGUGAGCACCCAAGUGGCUUUGCUACCUGCCCUUCCCUCCUUUUGUGAAUGUGUGUACUAAAAAACAAAGGGACAGCUUCUACUACUGCAAGAACAGAGCUUUUAGAGAAAAAAAGGUCUGCAAAACCAGGCCACACUGCCUGUUGCACCCUUGGGAAGAUGGCUCAGGCAGGACUGACUUCGGGCACCUCCAGGAGCUGCUGCAGUCCGUUUGGUUUUCCCCUAACAGGACCACAGCAGCUGUUUUCCUACCCGAACUGGGGCUCCACCAGAGCCCCCAGUAGCCCUUCAGGCAGUGAGGACACAGGCUGCAACUUCCAGUCGUCAUGGGGUCCCUUAAAAUCCUUCAAGAACUGAUUUUAUUCUUUAAGGCCUGAAGUUAAAAAAAAAAACCACACAAAAAAAAAUCUGUACAGUGAACACCUGAGUCACAAGUCAACCUACAAUAUUCACAUUUUAUUUGAGAUCACCAUGUCUAUCAUCUUUGUGUUUAGGCAACGGCUCACCGGUCCCAGCACCUCUCAUUGCUUGAAGACUGAGUCAUUGCAAGUCCAGCAAGUAAAUGACCCAGACUGUUCCCUUAGGACAGCCAACAUUUUCAAAAUGCUUCCUUUUUUGGUUGUCCAAUAUAAGGUGCUUCUAAAAUGAGCUUGACUUUUUUCAGAAGAUGUUGAACUCAUAUCUUUGGAAGACUGCAAUUACUUCGAGUUGCUUCAAGCUAAGGACCCAAAAAAGAGCAAGAUGAUAAUUGAUUUUGAGAAAUGCAGGAUAACACAUUCUCAUUAGUGAUGAUCUUGUUAUAGAGGAGGUGGCCUGCUGAAUUGUGCUGUGCUGGCCUCCCUGUGUAAGGAUGUCUAACAAACCUUAGAAACUUCACAGUUUAAUUGUGAGUGUCGGAAGCUGAUGCUCCUAAAGCUUAAUUUGCAGGAAAGAGGAGUCUGUACUGCUCAGUAGUUGUGAGGUGCCUCAUUUAUGGCUCCAAAUACAGAUGCAUAGCUUUAGAUACCCACAAUUGAAAAAUAUGGUGUGACACCUCUGUGUCACAUGUGCUGGGGCACAUGCAACCACCUCAUUGCUGAGGUGGAGAGACUCUGAGCUCCUUAAGUACUUUUAGAUUUCCUGUUGAAGGAAACUGAUUUUCUAAAAAAAGGUUUUCCAAAGGAUUUUCUGCCCACAGGUACUCAUCUGGACUAUUAAAUUGCAAGAACAAUCUUUCAAUUCUUUUCUGUGUGGCUUAGGCAUGUCCUCUUUUCUGUGCAGUGUAUCCUGUGUGUUAUUACACAGUUCCCAUUUGCUCGUUCUGGUGAAGGACGGUAUCUGCUGCUGUCAUAAAUGGGGCCAACUACCUCACCUUGGCUUCGCAGCCCACUGCUGGGAGGGGAUCCAGCUGCUGUGAUCUGUGCCUGCACUAAGGCUUCAGCUGGAACUGAACCCAGCCAUAACCCCUCUGCUCCUCCUCCCCUGCUUCCAGGGCCCCAAGUCCCCUUCCGCAUAGCAGCUUCAGCUUCAGAGCUGGGACUUCACAUUUCCAUCUGACCCAGAGGACCAGACCUGCCUCCUCAAAAUCCCCCCAUGGCUUAGAGCCAUGCUUUGCU
Long non-coding RNA from Falco peregrinus (peregrine falcon), 3696 nucleotides. RefSeq lists it as uncharacterized. The record is from RefSeq and is a predicted model, not a curated record. The transcript has 4 exons. Lineage: Eukaryota; Metazoa; Chordata; Aves; Falconiformes; Falconidae.